Clupea harengus (Atlantic herring) is the source of this 1943-nucleotide long non-coding RNA. The record is from Ensembl. Lineage: Eukaryota; Metazoa; Chordata; Actinopteri; Clupeiformes; Clupeidae.
CCGAAACUUUGCCUUGAAAUGCAAUCACUUUGCCCAUUGCCUGGUGUCUCAAGAAUUCUGUACUGUGGCGAAGCGAGUCUAACAAGCUCUCCGGCCGCGCCAAGCCAGGCCCUUUAUCUGUGCUCUCUCUGUCAGGCAGAAAGACAUGGAUGGACACUAACUGAGUUCUGUGUGCCUGAUGAAUCAUCCACUGUAGACUGUCGGAUUUUGUAAUAGGCCUUUUAUCUUCCUCCAUUUUGGCAGGGGUGUUUGUGCCUUAAGAAACGUGUUUUUUUUUGUUGUUGUUUUAUUUUUUGAAGGGACAUUUUCCUUCUAGAAGCAUAUUUUACUUCCCGUGAGGAUCACACUGGAUCUCUGUGCAACAGUGAAUAGCACUAAAGAGUUAGUGUCAGAAAGAUGUCGGGAGGUAGGGGGUCAGAGAAUGGAAGAAAAUGUGGGUAAUGGCUGCAACAAAGAGACCAACCUGCAUUGGAGUGUUGAGAGAUUGCACAGGGGUAUUGAGAGGAUGCACAGGGGUGUUGAGAGGUUGCACAGGGGUGUUGAGAGGUUGCACAGGGAUGUUGAGAGGUUGCACAGGGAUGUUGAGAGGAUGCACAGGGGUGUUGCACAGGGGUUUUGAGAGGAUGCACAGGGGUAUUGAGAGGUUGCACAGGGGUAUUGAGAGGUUGCACAGGGGUAUUUAGAAGUUGCACAGGGGUGUUGCUCAGUGGUGUUGACAGGACGCACAAGUAGGGAUGAGAAUUGAUAAGAUUUUAACGAUUCCGAUGCCUUAUCGAUUCCUGCUUAUCGAUUCGAUUCCUUAUCGAUUCUUUUAUCGAUUCUUAUUGGGCAAGGGGUGAAAAAAAGAGCACAAACGGGUUUAUUUACAUUCAUUUUCUUUUAUAUAAUUUUCUAUAAUGCUGCACACACCAUAUACAGUAUGUAUAUACACAUUAAAAAAAAAAAAAUAACCAAAAACAUUUAUACAUAUUCCUCUUGAACUUAAAAUAAAACUUACAUACCUUAAAUAAAAUGUAUUCUUGUGGUAGGGUGGUGUUGUUACACCUACACUCCCUGCUUUUACAUUCACAUUCAAUCAGCCCAACUAUCGUCAGCCUAGUCACUGAUAACCUCCACUUAGAUGGAGAUAAAAGGACCAGACGUUGUGUGCGUGCAUUACGGUGUCUGUAACCACACCCCGUCUCCUAUUGAGGUGCUUUCCUGAUUUGCCGGGUAGGUGUUUGUUUGCUGGCGAGUGGUACAACUUUUACCCAUUACUUUGGGGCUUACCUUUUCGUGUUUGUUUUGUAGCCCUGUAUUCCUAGCCUUCCCUCUGACGCUCGCCUUCGGUAUGUCCUUGUCCCUGCAUGUUCAGGUAUGCCUUUCCUAUUUUCAUUAACGCUGGAGGAGUAGCCUCUUUUCACACUGGCUCUAAUUAGCGCAUAUGUUUUACAGUGAGGAACCGUAAUUCGCCGCUGACCUCGUCGUUCCUGUGAUAACUGUCUGAUAACUGCCUGAUCACAAAGGUGCUGCUGUUUUGUUUAAACCUGACAAUGCGUGUAUGAUUCAGCAUGCUCGUGACUCUGCUAAACUGUUGUUGUGCAUGUUGGUCUGACCUAUAUCUGAGCUGGGUUUUCGUUUUCUUUGUCGUGUUCUUUUUGUCUGGGCAUUGUACCAUCUUGUCAACUCCAAUGGAGUAAUGCUUCUGUCUAGUGUGUUUUCUGUCUGCAUGUGACUGGGGAUAAGGCUGGUGGCGCUGUAGCUGUCCUGGUGCAUGCUUGUUGUUUGUUCUGGUCUGUAGUUAGUCCCUAUGCAUGAUUGCUAUUACUGUCUGAGUGAUUCGUGCUUAGGAUGGACUGUUGAUAUCCCCUGGUGCAAUAAUUGUUUUCAUUUUAUUUGUUAAGCAGUUGCUAGGUGCUUCCAGAGGGAGGCUAGGCACCUGGUGGUGGGCCCCUGUCACUGUG